AGCUCAUGAUUGGGUGUAAAGUGCGUAGGCGGCUUUUUAAGUCAGGGGUGAAAGACGGUGGCUCAACCAUCGCAGUGCCUUUGAUACUGAAGAGCUUGAAUACACCUGAGGUAGGCGGAAUGUGACAAGUAGCGGUGAAAUGCAUAGAUAUGUCACAGAACACCAAUUGCGAAGGCAGCUUACUAAAGUGUAAUUGACGCUGAGGCACGAAAGCGUGGGGAUCAAACAGGAUUAGAUACCCUGGUAGUCCACGCCCUAAACGAUGAAUACUCGAUGUUAGCGAUAUACAGUUAGCGUCUAAGCGAAAGCGUUAAGUAUUCCACCUGGGGAGUACGCCCGCAAGGGUGAAACUUAAAGGAAUUGACGG
RNAcentral lists this ribosomal RNA (367 nucleotides) under uncultured Mucilaginibacter sp. RNAcentral describes it as "bacterial SSU rRNA". It matches the Rfam family "Bacterial small subunit ribosomal RNA", at positions 542 to 916 of the family's 1533-position model. The record is from RNAcentral. Lineage: Bacteria; Pseudomonadati; Bacteroidota; Sphingobacteriia; Sphingobacteriales; Sphingobacteriaceae.